Molecule: ribosomal RNA, 247 nt
Filed under: uncultured bacterium
Lineage: Bacteria
Description: partial 16S ribosomal RNA
Rfam family: Bacterial small subunit ribosomal RNA
Source: RNAcentral
GACAGAGGGUGCAAACGUUGUUCGGAAUUACUGGGCGUAAAGCGCGUGUAGGCGGCUAAGUAAGUCGGGCGUGAAAUCCCACGGCUCAACCGUGGAAGUGCACUCGAAACUGCAUAGCUAGAGUCCUGGAGAGGAAGGUGGAAUGCUUGGUGUAGAGGUGAAAUUCGUAGAUAUCAAGCGGAACACCGGUGGCGAAGGCGGCCUUCUGGGACAGUGACGUGACGCUGAGACGCGAAAGCGUGGGGAG